RNAcentral lists this ribosomal RNA (582 nucleotides) under Escherichia coli. RNAcentral's name for it is "bacterial SSU rRNA". It matches the Rfam family "Bacterial small subunit ribosomal RNA", at positions 808 to 1390 of the family's 1533-position model. Lineage: Bacteria; Pseudomonadati; Pseudomonadota; Gammaproteobacteria; Enterobacterales; Enterobacteriaceae. The record is from RNAcentral.
GAUGUCGACUUGGAGGUUGUGCCCUUGAGGCGUGGCUUCCGGAGCUAACGCGUUAAGUCGACCGCCUGGGGAGUACGGCCGCAAGGUUAAAACUCAAAUGAAUUGACGGGGGCCCGCACAAGCGGUGGAGCAUGUGGUUUAAUUCGAUGCAACGCGAAGAACCUUACCUGGUCUUGACAUCCACAGAACUUUCCAGAGAUGGAUUGGUGCCUUCGGGAACUGUGAGACAGGUGCUGCAUGGCUGUCGUCAGCUCGUGUUGUGAAAUGUUGGGUUAAGUCCCGCAACGAGCGCAACCCUUAUCCUUUGUUGCCAGCGGUCCGGCCGGGAACUCAAAGGAGACUGCCAGUGAUAAACUGGAGGAAGGUGGGGAUGACGUCAAGUCAUCAUGGCCCUUACGACCAGGGCUACACACGUGCUACAAUGGCGCAUACAAAGAGAAGCGACCUCGCGAGAGCAAGCGGACCUCAUAAAGUGCGUCGUAGUCCGGAUUGGAGUCUGCAACUCGACUCCAUGAAGUCGGAAUCGCUAGUAAUCGUGGAUCAGAAUGCCACGGUGAAUACGUUCCCGGGCCUUGUACACAC